RNAcentral lists this transfer RNA (60 nucleotides) under Corynebacterium sp. RNAcentral describes it as "tRNA-Cys". Lineage: Bacteria; Bacillati; Actinomycetota; Actinomycetes; Mycobacteriales; Corynebacteriaceae. The record is from RNAcentral. RNAcentral also lists the same sequence under 6 other names.
AACGCCUGGUACGUGUCUUUUGCAAGCAGAAGGUCAGGGGUUCGAUUCCCCUCAGCUCCA